GGCGUUAAGUUGCAGGGUAUAGACCCGAAACCCGGUGAUCUAGCCAUGGGCAGGUUGAAGGUUGGGUAACACUAACUGGAGGACCGAACCGACUAAUGUUGAAAAAUUAGCGGAUGACUUGUGGCUGGGGGUGAAAGGCCAAUCAAACCGGGAGAUAGCUGGUUCUCCCCGAAAGCUAUUUAGGUAGCGCCUCGUGAAUUCAUCUCCGGGGGUAGAGCACUGUUUCGGCAAGGGGGUCAUCCCGACUUACCAACCCGAUGCAAACUGCGAAUACCGGAGAAUGUUAUCACGGGAGACACACGGCGGGUGCUAACGUCCGUCGUGAAGAGGGAAACAACCCAGACCGCCAGCUAAGGUCCCAAAGUCAUGGUUAAGUGGGAAACGAUGUGGGAAGGCCCAGACAGCCAGGAUGUUGGCUUAGAAGCAGCCAUCAUUUAAAGAAAGCGUAAUAGCUCACUGGUCGAGUCGGCCUGCGCGGAAGAUGUAACGGGGCUAAACCAUGCACCGAAGCUGCGGCAGCGACGCUUAUGCGUUGUUGGGUA
This 542-nucleotide ribosomal RNA is filed under the name Escherichia coli. Its description in RNAcentral is "partial 23S ribosomal RNA". It matches the Rfam family "Bacterial large subunit ribosomal RNA", at positions 691 to 1230 of the family's 2925-position model. The record is from RNAcentral. Lineage: Bacteria; Pseudomonadati; Pseudomonadota; Gammaproteobacteria; Enterobacterales; Enterobacteriaceae.